RNAcentral lists this ribosomal RNA (494 nucleotides) under uncultured bacterium. RNAcentral's name for it is "partial 16S ribosomal RNA". It matches the Rfam family "Bacterial small subunit ribosomal RNA", at positions 28 to 507 of the family's 1533-position model. The record is from RNAcentral.
GACGAACGCUGGCGGCGCGCUUAACACAUGCAAGUCGAACGGAAAGGCCUGCUUUCCCUUGUGGAUUGCGGGUACUCGAGUGGCGAACGGGUGAGUAACACGUGAGUGAUCUGCCCCCAACUUGGGUAUAAGCCUGGGAAACUGGGUCUAAUUCCCGAUAGGACUGCAGGGUGGUGCCUGUGGUGGAAAACGAUUUUCUAGUGGUUGGGGAUGAGCUCGCGGCCUAUCAGCUUGUUGGUGGGGUAAUGGCCUACCAAGGCGGCGACGGGUAGCCGGCCUGAGAGGGUGGACGGCCACAUUGGGACUGAGAUACGGCCCAGACUCCUACGGGAGGCAGCAGUGGUGAAUAUUGCACAAUGGGCGGAAGCCUGAUGCAGCGACGCCGCGUGGGGGAUGACGGCCUUCGGGUUGUAAACUCCUUUCGACCGCGAGGAAGCCACCUGGUUGGAAGGGUGGUGACGGUAGUGGUAGAAGAAGCACCGGCUAACUACGUG